Molecule: unclassified non-coding RNA, 345 nt
Filed under: soil metagenome
Description: partial contains 5.8S ribosomal RNA, internal transcribed spacer 2, and large subunit ribosomal RNA
Rfam family: 5.8S ribosomal RNA (bases 1-120)
Source: RNAcentral
GAUGAAGAACGUAGCGAAAUGCGAUAAUUAAUGUGAAUUGCAGAAUUCCGUGAAUCAUCGAGUCUUUGAACGCACAUUGCGCCCUCUGGUAUUCCGGAGGGCAUGCCUGUCCGAGCGUCAUUGCUGCCCUCAAGCACGGCUUGUGUGUUGGGCCCCGCCCCCCGAUCCCGGGGGGCGGGCCCGAAAGGCAGCGGCGGCACCGCGUCCGGUCCUCGAGCGUAUGGGGCUUUGUCACCCGCUCUGUAGGCCCGGCCGGCGCUUGCCGAUCAACCAAACUUUUUUCCAGGUUGACCUCGGAUCAGGUAGGGAUACCCGCUGAACUUAAGCAUAUCAAUAAGCGGAGGA